Molecule: long non-coding RNA, 2299 nt
Organism: Homo sapiens (human)
Lineage: Eukaryota; Metazoa; Chordata; Mammalia; Primates; Hominidae
Source: Ensembl
UCUUUCACUCCUUAAAAGAAAAUCAAUCAAUUAAUACACAAAGAUAAAAGUGAGAAACCUACUGUAAUCUACUAAGGUCCAGGAAUUUAAAGAAUCAAAUGUACCUUCUGGGUUUCGGAAUCCAUCGGGGAGAAUGUAGAGGGUGAUGAGAAGACUUUGCAUUUGACCAAAAAGCACUAGUAAAUAAGGAGUUAAAAUGAAGGCAGGCUCGCUGGUUUGCUGAGAUCUGUCAGAGUCUGACUGGCUGGCUACAUAUCUGUCUCUGGAACAAUAGGUACCUGUAUUCUGCACGGACUGCUGGGCAGCACUAGCACUCUGGAGAAGGUCUGCCGCUGUCUGCACUUUCCUGGUUCUAUGCAGGCAGAUGAGUGUCACAGCUGUAACUGAGGCACAGAGCAGUACACACAGUGGAGCCGAUUUCCGCGAUGGCGAGAGGGGGCACCGGAGGUGACAACAAUAACAAGACUGUCCUUCGGACAAGUUUUAGCGCUGAAUAUCUUCAGGAAAAUGGGUUCCAUGAGAAGUGACAUCCUCCUCGAAUCAAAAGAUUCUCAGGAUGAUGGAGUGAGUGAUGGAAUAGGUUGCCAACUGUAGUUACUCCACUCAGCACAGAAUGGCUGCGGGGAAAUAUAAUCAGACAUGCCCAAAGAAGUCUGCUUAGGGUGAAACAAAUACCUUUGAGGUUUAAAUCAGAAACUACACGAUUUUUGUUGCUAUAUUUUGUUAGAAAGGAAGGAGAGACUGUUUCUACAGGUGUCAUACAAAAAUCAAUACUGAGCCAAGGAUUAUUGGAUCCCAUAGAACCACGGAGACUUGGUAGUGAAAUUCUUCCAAAGGCAGAUGGUGUUCCUAGGUUUGGAAAUAUAAAUCCCAUGGGAAGUCAGCUGAAGACCAUUUUAUGCAUCACUCAUCCUGUUAGAGCCCUGUGCUGUUCUGUCUCUCUAUAAGACUGGCUGAAACCACCACGGUUGUUUACAAUUUAUGCUCUAACUUUGGAUCACCUAGUUAAUACUCUAACUCCGAUUAUUACCAAAGACAAUGUUCUAUAAAAGAUAUUGUCUAUUAGAAGGAUGCUUCUGCAUUAUUAAUAAAAUCACAGGGAAAAUGCAACAUUUUGGAUGUCACAUCUGAUAAGUGGGUGACUGAUCGUACCCGCCAGCUGGCUAAUGUCAUAAUUAACAAAGUUGCUACUACAUCUGCAAAGUUUAAUCGAAAAAUUUGCCAGUGAUAUGAUGGCCUUGUCACAGAGAUCACAAGGGACACGGAGUUGACUUUUGCUCAAGGUGGAACGACAGAGCUGUGUAGGCAAGAUGAGAAAUUGCGAACUUGUUCGGCCAAAGGAACGACUAUGCUCUGGAGAGUCCUGUAAUUUGCAGAAAAUGGACCAAGAUAACAUUUGAGUUCCAUGCUACCAAAAUCCUCUUGAGAAGGACAGCUAGCUACCCAGAAUAUUUAACAUUGUGACAUUGAAAUGUUGGAUGAACGAUUAAAAUGAAGAAUCUAGUCAUAGGUUGUAAGAAAUCGCUAAAUUAUUAUGUUUAAUCCAAAGAAGAGAAAGGAAAAGCUGUUUUCAUUCCCCCCAGCCUCUGAGGAGGCUAAUAAUGAAGGGGCCGGGAAGGAGGCCAGUGCUACCAGGGUUAUCUCACAACCUCAGAUGCUGGAUAAGUCGACGGAGGCAGAAUCGCUUUGGGAUGACAUUCAGAAAGCCUGGAGUGAUUACUUGCAAGAGAAAAGCCUACCUAUUCUUUCCAAGGUGCAGGAAUAUUCCCCUGACCUGCUCAUCCAGUGGUCCAGUAAUGAAUUACUGGAGACCUGCCUUAGACAAAGAAUGCACUCGGAGCCCCAACACACCUAAAGCCAUGCUUUGAAGGAUCUGCCAAGCUCACUUUUAAUCAUGAGAAAGAAAUUACCCACACGGAGUCAGCAGAAAAUGAGAAAGUAGAGCUCGUGCUGUGAAUAAUUCCAGCAAGUGCCAAGGGGCUAGUUGAGGAAUGGCUUCAUGAGAUGUUAGUCUAAAACAGCACCUUGGAUCUAAGCAGCACCUUUGAGAAAGAAAAGACUGCUUCAAGAAUGUCUAGUUGCACCUCCUUUCCGUAUGUGGCCUAAAUGCCUAGGUUGGAUCAAUAGUUUAAUUUUUUUAUUGAACUGUUUAAUAUUGACUAUGGACUUACAUUCACUUUUACUGUUUUCUGUAUAUUUACUUUUGCUUGAAGUGUUUUAAUAUUGACUAUUUACCUCUGCUCAUUUUUAUUGAUUUUCUGUAUUUUUUCAAUGAAAAUUAUAAUAAAAAUUAUUUUUG